AGGAAUAUUGGUCAAUGGACGCAAGUCUGAACCAGCCAUGUCGCGUGAAGGAUGAAGGUCCUCUGGAUUGUAAACUUCUUUUAUCUGGGACGAAAACGGGAUUUUUAUCUCAAUUGACGGUACCAGAGGAAUAAGCACCGGCUAACUCCGUGCCAGCAGCCGCGGUAAUACGGAGGGUGCGAGCGUUAUCCGGAUUUACUGGGUUUAAAGGGUGCGUAGGUGGGCUUAUAAGUCAGUGGUGAAAUCUCCGAGCUUAACUUGGAAACUGCCGUUGAUACUAUAGAUCUUGAAUUAUCUGGAGGUAAGCGGAAUAUGUCAUGUAGCGGUGAAAUGCUUAGAUAUGACAUAGAACACCAAUUGCGAAGGCAGCUUACUACAUAUAAAUUGACGCUGAGGCACGAAAGCGUGGGGAUCAAACA
RNAcentral lists this ribosomal RNA (419 nucleotides) under uncultured bacterium. RNAcentral's name for it is "bacterial SSU rRNA". It matches the Rfam family "Bacterial small subunit ribosomal RNA", at positions 357 to 774 of the family's 1533-position model. The record is from RNAcentral.